AUUGAACGCUGGCGGCAGGCCUAACACAUGCAAGUCGAGCGGAUGAAGGGAGCUUGCUCUUGGAUUCAGCGGCGGACGGGUGAGUAAUGCCUAGGAAUCUGCCUGGUAGUGGGGGAUAACGUCCGGAAACGGGCGCUAAUACCGCAUACGUCCUGAGGGAGAAAGUGGGGGAUCUUCGGACCUCACGCUAUCAGAUGAGCCUAGGUCGGAUUAGCUAGUUGGUGGGGUAAAGGCCUACCAAGGCGACGAUCCGUAACUGGUCUGAGAGGAUGAUCAGUCACACUGGAACUGAGACACGGUCCAGACUCCUACGGGAGGCAGCAGUGGGGAAUAUUGGACAAAGGGCGAAAGCCUGAUCCAGCCAUGCCGCGUGUGUGAAGAAGGUCUUCGGAUUGUAAAGCACUUUAAGUUGGGAGGAAGGGCAGUAAGUUAAUACCUUGCUGUUUUGACGUUACCAACAGAAUAAGCACCGGCUAACUUCGUG
Molecule: ribosomal RNA, 484 nt
Filed under: uncultured bacterium
Lineage: Bacteria
Description: partial 16S ribosomal RNA
Rfam family: Bacterial small subunit ribosomal RNA
Source: RNAcentral